GGUGCGGGUGGGAGUGAAAACCCAGAGCUGGGACCUCUCCCAUGGCAGGGGCAGAGCCGGGCAGGGCUGGGGUCGGGCAGGGGCAGAGCCGGGCUGGGGCAGAGCGGGGCUGGGCAGGGCUCAGCAGGGCAGAGCCGGGCAGGGCAGAGCGGGGCCGGGCAGGGGAGAGCCGAACUGGGCAGGGCUCAGCAGGACAGAGCCGGGCUGGGCUGGGGUCGGGCAGGGCAGAGCCUGGCUGGGCAGGGGCAGAAAGGGACUGGGCAGGGGCAGAGCCGGGCCGGGCAGGGGCAGAGCGGGGCCGGGCAGGGCUCAGCAGGGGAGAGCCGGGCUGGGCUGGGGCAGAGCAGGACCGGGCUGGGGCAGAGCCGGGCUGGGCUGGCCCCGCUCCCUGAGCGGCCAGGGAGGAACCGGCCUUGGGCGCCCAGGGCCGCUGGGGCUGUGCCUCCUCCUCAGGGGCACACGGGGGUGGGCAGAUACGCACCGAGCCCGCCUCGCUUUGUUCUGAAGUGUAAAUUUAAUGCGAUAAGGCACGAGAGCGGCGAGCCCGAGCGAGCUCCAAGGCUGCGGCGGGGGAGCCGUCAGUGCUCCCCCAGCACCGGGGAGCGUUCCCGGAGCCCCGAGCCCUCGGUCCCUUCCGCGGGGCCGAUCCUCGCUCCCGCCGCCGCCGCCGGGGCUCCUCAGGGCUCCUCAGGGCUCCUCAGGGCUCCUCAGGGCCCGCGCCGCCCGCCGGGCCGGGGCUCAGCGCCGCCCGCAGCGCGGCCAUCUCCGCCCGCAGCUCCUCGCAGGCGGCGAUGCGGGACCGCAGCUGCCGCUGCCGCAGCUCCAGCAGCUCCCGCAGCCUCCCCGGCUCGGCCCGAACCUGCGGGGACACGGCGGGGACAGCGCUCAGCCGCGGAGCCGCUGGCCGCUCCCGUUCCCUCCGUUCCUCCUGUUACAGAUACACUUCCCCGUGCUCCCGUUCCCUCCGUUCCUCCUGCUACAGAUACACUUCCCUGUCCCCCCGUCCUCCCCGAUCGCCCUGGCCGCUCCGGUUCCCUCCGUUCCCCCUGUUAUACACUUCCCUGUGCUCCCGUUCCCUCCGUUCCUCCCCUGUUCCCCCGUCCCCUCUCCGGACCCCAAGAUGGCUCUGGCCGCCUCCAUUCCCUCCGCUCCUCCCGUGUCUCCCCGAUCCCCCAUGCCGCUCCCGUUCCCUCCGUUCCUCCUGUUAUAGAUACACUUCCCUGUCCCCUCGUCCGCCCUCCGGACCCUCGGAUGCCCCUGGCC
This 1263-nucleotide long non-coding RNA is filed under the name Taeniopygia guttata (zebra finch). Its description in RNAcentral is "lncRNA (ENSTGUG00000027085.1)". Lineage: Eukaryota; Metazoa; Chordata; Aves; Passeriformes; Estrildidae. The record is from RNAcentral.